RNAcentral lists this ribosomal RNA (252 nucleotides) under uncultured Lactobacillus sp. RNAcentral's name for it is "partial 16S ribosomal RNA". It matches the Rfam family "Bacterial small subunit ribosomal RNA", at positions 111 to 355 of the family's 1533-position model. Lineage: Bacteria; Bacillati; Bacillota; Bacilli; Lactobacillales; Lactobacillaceae. The record is from RNAcentral.
UAACACGUGGGGAACCUGCCCCAUAGUCUGGGAUACCACUUGGAAACAGGUGCUAAUACCGGAUAAGAAAGCGGAUCGCAUGAUCAGCUUUUAAAAGGCGGCGUAAGCUGUCGCUAUGGGAUGGCCCCGCGGUGCAUUAGCUAGUUGGUAAGGUAAAGGCUUACCAAGGCGAUGAUGCAUAGCCGAGUUGAGAGGCUGAUCGGCCACAUUGGGACUGAGACACGGCCCAAACUCCUACGGGAGGCAGCAGUC